AAUAUAUAGUUUAAAUAUUGGUUUAUCAUUUAGCGUCACAAUGGGUUGGCAAUAUUGUAAUUUAAUUUUGCUUUUGACGAAUUUAUUACAUAAAAUUUCACUUGUUCUAUUUUUAUUUUCUUUGCAUAACAAAACCUAUAAACACAAAAAUAAUAUAAAUAGCUCAAAAAUAUAAGGAACUAACUAAGAAAAGACGAGUGAAUUUGAAGUAAAAAUAUAUAUAAAUAUCAUCCGAUCAAAUACCCCCACACUUA
RNAcentral lists this long non-coding RNA (254 nucleotides) under Malus domestica (apple). Its description in RNAcentral is "long non-coding RNA (MDOM_LNC020222)". Lineage: Eukaryota; Viridiplantae; Streptophyta; Magnoliopsida; Rosales; Rosaceae. The record is from RNAcentral.